GAUGAAGAACGUAGCGAAAUGCGAUAAGUAACGUGAAUUGCAGAAUUCAGUGAAUCAUCGAAUCUUUGAACGCACAUUGCGCCCUUUGGCAUUCCGAAGGGCACACCUGUCCGAGCGCCGUCGCACAACUGAGGCGCAGCCUUGCGUUGGCGGGCGACUUGUGAGUAGCGAGUCGCCGCCCAAACGAGACGGCGCCGCGCCGCGGCCGACGAAGCACGAAAGCGGAAGUCGACGCGGAGGCGGUUGCCUGUAGGAAGACACAGCUUGGCCUCGGAUCAGGUGGGGAUACCCGCUGAACUUAAGCAUAUCAAUAAGCGGAGGA
RNAcentral lists this unclassified non-coding RNA (322 nucleotides) under soil metagenome. RNAcentral's name for it is "partial contains 5.8S ribosomal RNA, internal transcribed spacer 2, and large subunit ribosomal RNA". The stretch from base 1 to 120 matches the Rfam family "5.8S ribosomal RNA", at positions 35 to 154 of the family's 154-position model. The record is from RNAcentral.